RNAcentral lists this transfer RNA (72 nucleotides) under Candidatus Tremblayella phenacoccinincola. Its description in RNAcentral is "Candidatus Tremblaya phenacola tRNA-Gly". It matches the Rfam family "tRNA". Rfam says of the family: Transfer RNA (tRNA) molecules are approximately 80 nucleotides in length. Their secondary structure includes four short double-helical elements and three loops (D, anti-codon, and T loops). Further hydrogen bonds mediate the characteristic L-shaped molecular structure. tRNAs have two regions of fundamental functional importance: the anti-codon, which is responsible for specific mRNA codon recognition, and the 3' end, to which the tRNAs corresponding amino acid is attached (by aminoacyl-tRNA synthetases). tRNAs cope with the degeneracy of the genetic code in two manners: having more than one tRNA (with a specific anti-codon) for a particular amino acid; and 'wobble' base-pairing, i.e. permitting non-standard base-pairing at the 3rd anti-codon position. Lineage: Bacteria; Pseudomonadati; Pseudomonadota; Betaproteobacteria. The record is from RNAcentral.
GCGAAUAUAGUAUAAAGGUUAUUAUUCUAGCCUUCCAAGUUAGAGAUAUGGGUUCAAUUCCCAUUAUUCGCU